UCUCAAUAUUUUUUCCACCACUGUAUAUCGUGAUCAACUAGAUUUAUGCUCAUUUUCUUCUAGUUCUAAAUCCAGGCAUGUAGCGCCAAAUGUUAAGCUGCCACUAACGGACUAGACAUGCGCUCUUAGUUGGCUGAAACAGCUACUACUGCUGCCGCUGAGGCUUAUAUAGACGACGCAUGCAGAUGAAUUAACUAGAUCGAACCGGCUCAGAGAGUAAAGCAUAUAAAUGACGACGGUAGUCGGAAAUCAUUGAAUUCCAGGCAAUUUUGGUAAACUUAAAGACUGGCCGAAGGAGAUGAAUUCCAUAUAUCCCUAAUGCCAACUUCCACCUUCAACGACGGAAAUCCUCCGAUUGGAAAGCCCAAGAUUUUUGUGUUCAUAAGAUCGGCAUAUGUACGAGCUCUGUUUCAGUAAUUCUUUAAUUAUAAUCGAAUCAAUCAUUGACCUGAAGGCUCAUGAUAGCAAGACUACUUUAAACAGUCGAUUUGACUCUGCCGUUUAGUUGAUUCGGCGACAUAGUUUGUUGUGGUGAAAGUAGUUAUUAAAUAAAGUCUCAUUUUUGUGUUUUAAAUGUGUAUGUAAUUUAGCACAGUUUUUGUUUUUAACAUUCAAUGCCAAUAUUUAAAGAUUAUAGCCGUAAAAUAUAUGUUAUUGAGUAAUUAGAAAAAAUAAAAAUAUGUAAAUGUAAUUUUUUCCACGAAAAACACUUCUUUUUAGUUU
Molecule: long non-coding RNA, 723 nt
Organism: Eupeodes corollae
Lineage: Eukaryota; Metazoa; Arthropoda; Insecta; Diptera; Syrphidae
Exons: 3
Source: RefSeq, a predicted model, not a curated record